RNAcentral lists this long non-coding RNA (292 nucleotides) under Mytilus galloprovincialis (Mediterranean mussel). The record is from RNAcentral. Lineage: Eukaryota; Metazoa; Mollusca; Bivalvia; Mytilida; Mytilidae.
UCUAUACCAAAAUUGGAAUCUUUUGGUUACAACACAUUUUGGAUCCUAGGUGGCGGCCAAGGUGUUUUUUAAGCUUUGAGGUUUAAAAAAUGCACAAAAUCAUCAUAUUUUGACAAAAUGUCCAAAAUAGGCUUACUUUGGGGAAUAUUAUGUUCUCUUAGAAGAACUGAUAUAUUUAGCAUUUAGACUUUUGAAAUACAACCAUUUACGAACCAAAUUGAGACCUUUGUGGUGUUAUAUGAUAAAGUUGAUAUUUUAGGCCAUAUUGUGCCAUUAGUGAACCUUGUCCUUU